This 250-nucleotide ribosomal RNA is filed under the name uncultured bacterium. Its description in RNAcentral is "partial 16S ribosomal RNA". It matches the Rfam family "Bacterial small subunit ribosomal RNA", at positions 515 to 764 of the family's 1533-position model. The record is from RNAcentral.
GCGCGGUAAUACGGAGGGAGCUAGCGUUGUUCGGAAUUACUGGGCGUAAAGCGUGCGUAGGCGGUUACUCAAGUCAGAGGUGAAAGCCCGGGGCUCGACCCCGGAACUGCCUUUGAAACUAGGUAACUAGAAUCUUGGAGAGGUCAGUGGAAUUCCGAGUGUAGAGGUGAAAUUCGUAGAUAUUCGGAAGAACACCAGUGGCGAAGGCGACUGACUGGACAAGCAUUGACGCUGAGGCACGAAAGCGUGG